Molecule: ribosomal RNA, 373 nt
Filed under: uncultured organism
Description: partial 16S ribosomal RNA
Rfam family: Bacterial small subunit ribosomal RNA
Source: RNAcentral
GUAGGUGGCAAGCGUUGUCCGGAAUUAUUGGGCGUAAAGCGCGCGCAGGCGGUUCUUUAAGUCUGAUGUGAAAGCCCGCGGCUCAACCGUGGAGGGUCAUUGGAAACUGGAGAACUUGAGUACAGAAGAGGAAAGCGGAAUUCCACGUGUAGCGGUGAAAUGCGUAGAGAUGUGGAGGAACACCAGUGGCGAAGGCGGCUUUCUGGUCUGUAACUGACGCUGAGGCGCGAAAGCGUGGGGAGCAAACAGGGAUUAGAUACCCUGGUAGUCCACGCCGUAAACGAUGAGUGCUAAGUGUUAGGGGGUUUCCGCCCCCUUAGUGCUGCAGCUAACGCAUUAAGCACUCCGCCUGGGGAGUACGGCCGCAAGGCUG